Rhagoletis zephyria (snowberry fruit fly) is the source of this 108-nucleotide long non-coding RNA. RefSeq lists it as uncharacterized. NCBI's taxonomy places the organism in Eukaryota, Metazoa, Arthropoda, Insecta, Diptera, Tephritidae. The record is from RefSeq and is a predicted model, not a curated record.
CAGGCAUAAAGCCAUGUUGAUUAGUAGAAAUUGAACUCUUAAGUGCAAAUAAUAUUUUUUCCUUAACUAUAAUUUCAAACAAUUUUGACAUGUCAGAAAGUUUAUAAA